GGCAGUUCUUGGGUAACGCACCCUGGAAUUGGGCUCCCUCCUCUCUGGUUCUGGGUGCAUCACCCCAAAACCACA
This is a non-coding RNA of Myotis davidii, 75 nucleotides long. NCBI's taxonomy places the organism in Eukaryota, Metazoa, Chordata, Mammalia, Chiroptera, Vespertilionidae. The record is from Rfam.